RNAcentral lists this ribosomal RNA (465 nucleotides) under uncultured bacterium. Its description in RNAcentral is "partial 16S ribosomal RNA". It matches the Rfam family "Bacterial small subunit ribosomal RNA", at positions 338 to 795 of the family's 1533-position model. The record is from RNAcentral.
CCUACGGGGGGCAGCAGUGGGGAAUAUUGCGCAAUGGGCGAAAGCCUGACGCAGCGACGCCGCGUGAGGGAUGAAGGUCUUCGGAUCGUGAACCUCUGUCAGCAGGGAAGAACGGUCACUGUGCUAAUCAGCAGUGAAUUGACGGUACCUGACUAAGACGCCUCGGCUAACUACGGGCCAGCAGCCGCGGUAAUACGUAGGGGGCAAGCGUUAUCCGGAUGUACUGGGUGGAAAGGGAGCGUAGACGGUGCAGCAAGUAUGAUGUGAAAGGUCGGGGCCCAACCCCGGGACUGCAUUGGAAACUGGUGAACUGGAGUACAGGAGAGGUAAGCGGAAUGCCUAGUGUAGCGGUGAAAUGCGUAGAUAUUAGGAGGAACACCAGUGGCGAAGGCGGCUUACUGGACUGUAACUGACGUUGAGGCUCGAAAGCGUGGGGAGCAAACAGGAUUAGAUACCCGUGUAGUC